This 614-nucleotide ribosomal RNA is filed under the name uncultured bacterium. RNAcentral's name for it is "bacterial SSU rRNA". It matches the Rfam family "Bacterial small subunit ribosomal RNA", at positions 237 to 842 of the family's 1533-position model. The record is from RNAcentral.
CGCAUUAGCUAGUUGGUGGGGUAAAGGCUUACCAAGGCAAUGAUGCGUAGCCGAAUUGAGAGGUUGAUCGGCCACAUUGGGACUGAGACACGGCCCAAACUCCUACGGGAGGCAGCAGUAGGGAAUCUUCCACAAUGGGCGAAAGCCUGAUGGAGCAACGCCGCGUGGGUGAAGAAGGUCUUCGGAUCGUAAAACCCUGUUGUUAGAGAAGAAAGUGCGUGAGAGUAACUGUUCACGUUUCGACGGUAUCUAACCAGAAAGCCACGGCUAACUACGUGCCAGCAGCCGCGGUAAUACGUAGGUGGCAAGCGUUAUCCGGAUUUAUUGGGCGUAAAGGGAACGCAGGCGGUCUUUUAAGUCUGAUGUGAAAGCCUUCGGCUUAACCGGAGUAGUGCAUUGGAAACUGGGAGACUUGAGUGCAGAAGAGGAGAGUGGAACUCCAUGUGUAGCGGUGAAAUGCGUAGAUAUAUGGAAGAACACCAGUGGCGAAAGCGGCUCUCUGGUCUGUAACUGACGCUGAGGUUCGAAAGCGUGGGUAGCAAACAGGAUUAGAUACCCUGGUAGUCCACGCCGUAAACGAUGAAUGCUAAGUGUUGGAGGGUUUCCGCCCUUCA